RNAcentral lists this small RNA (123 nucleotides) under Marmota monax (woodchuck). Lineage: Eukaryota; Metazoa; Chordata; Mammalia; Rodentia; Sciuridae. The record is from RNAcentral.
GCUGGGUGUGGUGGUGCACACCUGUAAUCCAUGGCUUGGGAGGCCGAGGCAGGAUAAUCAUGAGAUCAAAGCCAGUCUCAGCAACAGCAAGGCGCUAAGCAAUCCAGUGAGACCCUGUCUCUA